AUUGAACGCUGGCGGCAGGCCUAACACAUGCAAGUCGAGCGGGGUUUUCGGACCUAGCGGCGGACGGGUGAGUAAUGCGUAGGAAGCUGCCCGAUAGAGGGGGAUACCAGUUGGAAACGACUGUUAAUACCGCAUAAUGUCUACGGACCAAAGUGUGGGACCCUCGGGCCACAUGCUAUCGGAUGCGCCUACGUGGGAUU
RNAcentral lists this ribosomal RNA (200 nucleotides) under uncultured bacterium. RNAcentral describes it as "partial 16S ribosomal RNA". It matches the Rfam family "Bacterial small subunit ribosomal RNA", at positions 30 to 242 of the family's 1533-position model. The record is from RNAcentral.